CUACUUAACUUUCUCAAUUUUCUGCAAUAAACAGGAGCUUAUUGAACGUAAGAAGCCAGCUCCAAAAAAUUGGCUUGCUCGCUCUUAAAUUGUUAAAAUCAAUAAAUAAAUAAAUAGAAUAAAGAAUUCAACUACUUUAAGCUAUGCCCAUUAACUUCCCCUAGAAAACUAAACCUAAAAGCUGUGACAUUGAUUCCUUCAAAUGAACACUUAAGCAGGCAGUAAUUUAAUUCAUGCUAACAGAUAAAUAAAUAAAUCAGUCAUAAAACCUGGAAUGAAGUGGCUCGAAGGGG
RNAcentral lists this unclassified non-coding RNA (293 nucleotides) under Hevea brasiliensis (rubber tree). Lineage: Eukaryota; Viridiplantae; Streptophyta; Magnoliopsida; Malpighiales; Euphorbiaceae. The record is from RNAcentral.